CUGCUGAGCCGUCGCUUUCACU
RNAcentral lists this microRNA (22 nucleotides) under Ovis aries (sheep). RNAcentral's name for it is "miRNA 33-f". Lineage: Eukaryota; Metazoa; Chordata; Mammalia; Artiodactyla; Bovidae. The record is from RNAcentral.